RNAcentral lists this ribosomal RNA (1582 nucleotides) under Weissella confusa. Its description in RNAcentral is "bacterial SSU rRNA". It matches the Rfam family "Bacterial small subunit ribosomal RNA". The record is from RNAcentral. Lineage: Bacteria; Bacillati; Bacillota; Bacilli; Lactobacillales; Lactobacillaceae.
AAAUUGAGAGUUUGAUCCUGGCUCAGGAUGAACGCUGGCGGCGUGCCUAAUACAUGCAAGUCGAACGCUUUGUGGUUCAACUGAUUUGAAGAGCUUGCUCAGAUAUGACGAUGGACAUUGCAAAGAGUGGCGAACGGGUGAGUAACACGUGGGAAACCUACCUCUUAGCAGGGGAUAACAUUUGGAAACAGAUGCUAAUACCGUAUAACAAUGACAACCGCAUGGUUGUUAUUUAAAAGAUGGUUCUGCUAUCACUAAGAGAUGGUCCCGCGGUGCAUUAGCUAGUUGGUAAGGUAAUGGCUUACCAAGGCGAUGAUGCAUAGCCGAGUUGAGAGACUGAUCGGCCACAAUGGGACUGAGACACGGCCCAUACUCCUACGGGAGGCAGCAGUAGGGAAUCUUCCACAAUGGGCGAAAGCCUGAUGGAGCAACGCCGCGUGUGUGAUGAAGGGUUUCGGCUCGUAAAACACUGUUGUAAGAGAAGAAUGACAUUGAGAGUAACUGUUCAAUGUGUGACGGUAUCUUACCAGAAAGGAACGGCUAAAUACGUGCCAGCAGCCGCGGUAAUACGUAUGUUCCAAGCGUUAUCCGGAUUUAUUGGGCGUAAAGCGAGCGCAGACGGUUAUUUAAGUCUGAAGUGAAAGCCCUCAGCUCAACUGAGGAAUUGCUUUGGAAACUGGAUGACUUGAGUGCAGUAGAGGAAAGUGGAACUCCAUGUGUAGCGGUGAAAUGCGUAGAUAUAUGGAAGAACACCAGUGGCGAAGGCGGCUUUCUGGACUGUAACUGACGUUGAGGCUCGAAAGUGUGGGUAGCAAACAGGAUUAGAUACCCUGGUAGUCCACACCGUAAACGAUGAGUGCUAGGUGUUUGAGGGUUUCCGCCCUUAAGUGCCGCAGCUAACGCAUUAAGCACUCCGCCUGGGGAGUACGACCGCAAGGUUGAAACUCAAAGGAAUUGACGGGGACCCGCACAAGCGGUGGAGCAUGUGGUUUAAUUCGAAGCAACGCGAAGAACCUUACCAGGUCUUGACAUCCCUUGACAACUCCAGAGAUGGAGCGUUCCCUUCGGGGACAAGGUGACAGGUGGUGCAUGGUUGUCGUCAGCUCGUGUCGUGAGAUGUUGGGUUAAGUCCCGCAACGAGCGCAACCCUUAUUACUAGUUGCCAGCAUUCAGUUGGGCACUCUAGUGAGACUGCCGGUGACAAACCGGAGGAAGGUGGGGAUGACGUCAAAUCAUCAUGCCCCUUAUGACCUGGGCUACACACGUGCUACAAUGGCGUAUACAACGAGUUGCCAACCCGCGAGGGUGAGCUAAUCUCUUAAAGUACGUCUCAGUUCGGAUUGUAGGCUGCAACUCGCCUACAUGAAGUCGGAAUCGCUAGUAAUCGCGGAUCAGCACGCCGCGGUGAAUACGUUCCCGGGUCUUGUACACACCGCCCGUCACACCAUGAGAGUUUGUAACACCCAAAGCCGGUGGGGUAACCUUCGGGAGCCAGCCGUCUAAGGUGGGACAGAUGAUUAGGGUGAAGUCGUAACAAGGUAGCCGUAGGAGAACCUGCGGCUGGAUCACCUCCUUUCUAAGG